AGAUAUGAUGAUACAUUUUGACGCCCAGUCUUACUUGCAUCUUUUGAUGUAGUAUGGUGUCUCAGUAAUAGACUAUCUGAUCU
Molecule: non-coding RNA, 83 nt
Organism: Morus notabilis
Lineage: Eukaryota; Viridiplantae; Streptophyta; Magnoliopsida; Rosales; Moraceae
Source: Rfam